GGAUGUGAGGGCGAUCUGGCUGCGGACAUCUGUCACCCCAUUGAUCACCAGGGUUGAUUAGGCUGAUCUGGCUGGCUAGGCGGGUGUCCCCUUCCUCCCUCGCCGCUCCACGUGCGCUAGGUGGAAGAGGACGGCCUUCCCCAAACAGAGACGGACCGGUCUUCAGUCGAGGGUAUACGAGUAGCUGCACUCCCCCUGCUAGAACCUCCAAACAAGCUCUGCUGUAGUGUUAAUGAUUAUAAUUAUAAUUUAGGUUAUGCAUUUAAAGAAGUGUUGACAUUU
This 282-nucleotide small nuclear RNA is filed under the name Sorex araneus (European shrew). Its description in RNAcentral is "7SK RNA (ENSSARG00000017926.1)". It matches the Rfam family "7SK RNA". Rfam says of the family: 7SK was discovered as an abundant small nuclear RNA in the mid-70s but a possible function has only recently been suggested. Two independent studies have found that 7SK RNA binds the CDK9/cyclin T complex (known as elongation factor P-TEFb). P-TEFb activates transcription by phosphorylating the C-terminal domain of RNA polymerase II. The record is from RNAcentral. Lineage: Eukaryota; Metazoa; Chordata; Mammalia; Eulipotyphla; Soricidae.